GAGUGGGCUGGGCAGUCGCGGCACUUUAGUGACGAGGAAAGUCCGAGCUCCCCACAGCAGGGUAACGGCUAACGGCCGCCGAGGGUGACCUUAGGGAAAGUGCAACAGAAAGAAACCGCCGCGUCCGCGCGGUAAGGAUGGAAAGGCGAGGUAAGAGCUCACCGGCGCGCAGGAGACUGCGCGGCCCUGUAAACCCUACCCGGAGCAACACCGACCGGAAGCAGCAAUGAGCGCUCGCUGGGCGUAUUUCCGACGGGUGGCUUGAGCGCUGGGGCAACCCCGCGCCUAGAUAGAUGACUGCCUUCAAAGACAGAACUCGGCUUACAGGUCCACUCAU
RNAcentral lists this RNase P RNA (337 nucleotides) under bovine gut metagenome. Its description in RNAcentral is "Bacterial RNase P class A". It matches the Rfam family "Bacterial RNase P class A". Rfam says of the family: Ribonuclease P (RNase P) is a ubiquitous endoribonuclease, found in archaea, bacteria and eukarya as well as chloroplasts and mitochondria. Its best characterised activity is the generation of mature 5'-ends of tRNAs by cleaving the 5'-leader elements of precursor-tRNAs. The record is from RNAcentral.